This is a long non-coding RNA of Phocoena sinus (vaquita), 3128 nucleotides long. The record is from Ensembl. Lineage: Eukaryota; Metazoa; Chordata; Mammalia; Artiodactyla; Phocoenidae.
UGCUUAUGGAUAUUUUGGACACAAAGGUAGGAAUGACUAACAUUCAGGUUUUUAAAGCUUGAAACCUAAAUGUAGAAAAUAGAUCCUCAGAGGGUGGUCUAUGGAGAGAGAGCAGUUGAAUAUCAAACACAUAAUUUUCUUGUAUUUACUUUCAAGUGGGGAAAAGUUUUUCCUUGUGUUACACCUUUGAAACAAUCCGAUCUGAAAAAGGCACUUGGGUUUGGGCUUUCCUGUGCGGGGUUUCGGCUUUUAUAUGCUUAGGACUUGUUCGGAGAUGAAAGUAUCUUAGAACGAAGUUGGAGGAGUGUGUUGGCAAGGGAUACCCCCUCGCUGCCCAGAGAGCCUCAGACUAACCGUAAAUAGUUUAUAUUCCGUAGCUUAUAUUCCGUUCAUACCGGACUUCUAGUGUAGUAUUUUAGGAAACACCAGAAUGGAAAGCCAUUGGAAGACAGUUUGUAGGUUUUUUAAACCAUGUUUGUAGCUUUUUAAAACCAUAUUUCCUCAUUUAAAAACUAGAACUCUAAUAGUUUUUGUGAAUUAUUUCAGAUGAAAAAUUCACCUUGUAACUCAUAUUGUAAUAAUGCAUCUCUUUUUAUUAUAAAUGUAUUGAAAGAGAGGAGAAGGAAGGGAUUGAGGAAGAAGAGAAGAAGGAAGGGGGAGAGGGUCAGCGCAGCUGGAGGUGCAUGGGGCAUUGCGGACGCGGGCGUCUUCCUCUGUCACGCCUCUCAGAGCGCUGGCUCAGCUGCAGCAGUGCGCUUGGAUUAAAAGGGACCAAAAAGCCACAGGCAUUAGGCGGAAAGGAGGACACAUAGUAGUAAUAAUUGACAGUAUCGACUUCUUUUCUUCACAUUCUACGAGUAAUAAUACUAAAAAUCUCUUUUUACCUUUAAGUUUGCUGAUGUUGAAACUUUCCCUUUAGAAUGCCAUCAGUUUCACUUUCUGAUCAGUUUCACUUUCUGAUAUGAACUAAUUUAAAGUCCCCACUUCUUUUCCACUGAGUGGGAACCUCAUUAAGACAGCAGCGUGUGUGACUUCCAGUUUUGACUGGCCAAUGAUUCCAGACACGGAACUUUAGGAAUAACUAGUAGCCACGUAAUUCAAGGACAGAGCAAUGCUAUUAUAUUUGGUUUCACCAUCUUAAUUGCUAUAAUUCUAAAAAAGAAGUUAAAGCCCAUUAAAAUACGCUGGGUCAAUGAAAUGCUUCCUUUUAUUGUGUGGUCCUAUUAUACUUUAUGUUUUUUAAAAUAUUCUAACAAUAACAUCUUUGGUUUCGUAUUUUGGUUAUAUUAUAAUCCGUGGAGCAUUGUGUUAAUAUAAAACCCAGAUAUACGCUUAUUGCCUAACAGUUUGUUACUUAUAUAUGCAAUGCUGUAUUCCACACGUGGGAAUUUUCAGAAUCGUACAUAGCGUAAUUCUCCCUGCUCCCAUUUUUUUUGAGUCUGGGUGUCAUUAUUUUUUUUAAAAGUUGUAUUUAACUGUAAUUUCUUUUUAUGUUAAAUUUAGUUAUAAAUAUUCUGGCAAUAUAAUGCUAGUUAUCUUUAUUUUGAUACAAUUCAAUUAUUUUGAUAUAAUUCAAUUUGAUAUCAUUCAGCAUUUCUGGCUGUCCUAUGACAAUUGGAGCUAUGAUGUUUCUUCGUCAUUCUUUUUUUUUUUUUUUUUUUUGCGGUACGCGGGCCUCUCACUGUUGUGGCCUCUCCCGUUGCGGGGCACAGGCUCCGGACGCGCAGGCUCAGUGGCCAUGGCUCACGGGCCCAGCCGCUUCCGCAUCAUGUGGGAUCUUGCCGGACCGGGGCAUGAACCCGUGUCCCCUGCAUUGGCAGGCGGACUCUCAACCGCUGCGCCACCAGGGAAGCCCAUCUUUGUCAUUCUUUAAAGGAGCCAUUAUUAGCCUUCCAGCAUGUAAUCUGGAGUUCUUUUUAACAGCCUCACUUUUUCUAAUUUGCUUGAUUAAAGUUUAAUACUGUUUUCUAUAAAAAUAUGUUGUAAAUACCUCCUUGACAAGGUUCCUUAAUGUAAGGACAGUACUUAACUUGGUGUUCAUCAAGUGGCUCCCAUGGGUCCAGGUGCCAUUACAUCUUCUUGGCUGCAUCAUUUACUUGCACUUUUAAAAUCUGAGGCACAGUGAGUGGACUCACUCUUGGAUAAGAUUCAGGACUUUAUGUACUCUCAGUAGAGGCUUCUGUUAGACAGAAGAAUAUUCUGAUUUUUUUUUUCUUUCAAGUUCCAGUAAAGCAUAGCACCUUUAAGAACUUAAAAAGUUCCUAUCAUCUAUUCAAAUGAUAUUCGUGUUAAUGUUAAAUAUCUUAAGUUGCACCAGGAGUCAUUUGAGGUACAAUUUUUUUUUAUCACUACUUUGAAUAAAGAACCGUUAUACCACUUUCUUUAGGAAACUAAACAGUAAAUAUACAUUUUUAAUUAAGUGUAUAUUGGUGGUGAGUAGGCUUGUUUCAAAACUAUUUCUAGCCAUUGAGUUGUGUUUUCACGUGCCUCAUCAAAAGACAGUGCCACAUUCACUAAAAUGUUGCCAUUUCAUUUCAGUGGUUGUAAUACAGGAAAACAUAUUUCCUAGAUGAUUUCCGAGUUUCGCACUUCACAGGACAUUUACACAUUGGUAUGUGUGUGUCUUUGUAAUAGGGAUGAUAUUGAUAUAUAUGUUACUACAUAUUUAAGAAGAAUUCUGUCCAUGUUGUCACGAGGCCACGGUUUACCUCUCUUCUGCCAGGGUAUUGAAUCUGUGGUAUAGGAUAGUUCCAUGUUCCAUUUAUAGAUCAUUAAGAUUUGUCUUUGAUAGAUUUAAUAGAAUGUGGCUCUGUUCUGGUCCUUCAAGCCUUUAUUUUUUUUGGACUUUUACUAAGGUGCAGUUGAUACAGUAGAGUUGAUUUCUUUUGUACACAGGAAGCUUUAUAAGAUUUUAUUCACAAAUCUUCUAUUUUGAGAAGCUGUUUUGCAUAUAAGAAGGAUACUGUUGAAAUAAAACAUCAUUUUCCCAGAAACUAAAGCUUUGUAUAUUGAACCAGGGUGAUUCUGAAUGUUUAAAUUUUAAAUGUUAAAGUGUUGUUGUUAAUUGUACUUGAUGAUCUAUUCAAUAGGAAAUCAUGGUUUAUCAAUAAAAAUGAAAAUUUCCAUCG